UCUAUGAGGGAAGAAAGCAUAAUUGUAGAGCAAGGAAGCCACCACUGCUCCAACCAUGGGACCCAGCCAGAAGACCUGUGCAUGGAAAUGACAACAUGAGAGAGACUCAGAAGAUGGCAGAGACCAUGAUUACUCUUGGGUUUCUCCAGCAUUUACAAAGCCAUGAAACUCCUGAUAACUUUUGAUCCUUGCAUCUGGAAUUCCUUCUUCUUUGACUUCCAAACCUUCCUGCGUUGCCCUGAGAUGAUCUCUAGCAGAACCCCUUCC
Molecule: non-coding RNA, 267 nt
Organism: Pseudonaja textilis
Lineage: Eukaryota; Metazoa; Chordata; Lepidosauria; Squamata; Elapidae
Source: RefSeq, a predicted model, not a curated record